CGGGUAGCAAUACCCAGUCGAGCGGCGGACGGGUGAGUAACGCGUGGAUAAUCUACCUUUUGGUGGGGGAUAACCCGGGGAAACUCGGGCUAAUACCGCAUAAGAUCGCAAGAUGAAAGGGGCGUUAAGUCCCGCCGGAAGAGGAGUCCGCGUCCGAUUAGCUAGUUGGUAGGGUAAUGGCCUACCAAGGCGACAAUCGGUAGCCGGCCUGAGAGGGUGAUCGGCCACACUGGAACUGAGACACGGUCCAG
This 251-nucleotide ribosomal RNA is filed under the name uncultured bacterium. RNAcentral describes it as "partial 16S ribosomal RNA". It matches the Rfam family "Bacterial small subunit ribosomal RNA", at positions 73 to 334 of the family's 1533-position model. The record is from RNAcentral.